UAUGAAGAACGUAGCGAAAUGCGAUAAGUAGUGUGAAUUGCAGAAUUCAGUGAAUCAUCGAAUCUUUGAACGCACAUUGCGCCUUCUAGUAUUCUGGGAGGCAUGCCUGUUUGAGCGUCAUUAAACCUCUCUCAAGUAUGAUUACUUGGAUGUGAAGGAAGAGUACCUUAAACUUAAGGAGUGUUCUCCUUUGAAAUUGAUUAGCAGAUGGUAAUGUUAUUAAAUCCCUGAUGUUGUAAGAAAUAACAGUGGUUUUGUAGACUAUUAUCUAGCUUUAAAUUAUAAUUUUUAUUAUGGUUGACCUCAAAUCAGGUAAGGAUACCCGCUGAACUUAAGCAUAUCAAUAAGCGGAGGA
This 355-nucleotide unclassified non-coding RNA is filed under the name soil metagenome. RNAcentral describes it as "partial contains 5.8S ribosomal RNA, internal transcribed spacer 2, and large subunit ribosomal RNA". The stretch from base 2 to 120 matches the Rfam family "5.8S ribosomal RNA", at positions 36 to 154 of the family's 154-position model. The record is from RNAcentral.